UAAACUAGGAUUAGAUACCCUAUUAUUUUUAAUGUAAAUUUAAAUACUAAAUUAGUAGUAGUUAUGUUCUUUAAAAUUAAAAAAUUUGGCGGUAUUUUAGUCUUUUCAGAGGAACUUGCCCUGUAAUUGAUAGUCCACGAUUAGACGUACUUUAAUUAUUAAUUUACAUAUCAUUGUAGUUUGAAUAUUUUAAUAGAAAUUUAAUAUUCAAGAUUUUACAUUAAAAAAUAAAUCAGAUCAAGGUGUAGUAUAUAUUAAAGUAGAGGUGAGUUACAAUAAAAUUAUUUUAGGAUAAUUUUUAUUACAAAAAUUUGAAUUUGGAUUUGAGAGUAAUUUUAUAUAUUUAUUUAAAAUGAUUAUAGCUCUAAAAUAUGCACACAUCGCCCGUCGCUCUUAA
RNAcentral lists this ribosomal RNA (397 nucleotides) under Bruchus tristiculus. RNAcentral describes it as "partial 12S small subunit ribosomal RNA". The record is from RNAcentral. Lineage: Eukaryota; Metazoa; Arthropoda; Insecta; Coleoptera; Chrysomelidae.